CUUUUUAACAUGCUGAAUAGGAAGAAAUGGGAGAUGACUCACGAUUAUGGAUAUCGAAACAAACUGUGUUGUCUCAGUGGGAAAAGCAAAAGAAGAUAUGAAUAAAAAGAGAACUAUGUUCUAUUCCUGGCAAAUAAAACUAAUUAUUGUAAAGAUGG
Molecule: long non-coding RNA, 158 nt
Filed under: Bos indicus x Bos taurus (hybrid cattle)
Lineage: Eukaryota; Metazoa; Chordata; Mammalia; Artiodactyla; Bovidae
Description: lncRNA (ENSBIXG00000008164.1)
Source: RNAcentral